This is a small nucleolar RNA of Uloborus diversus, 89 nucleotides long. Lineage: Eukaryota; Metazoa; Arthropoda; Arachnida; Araneae; Uloboridae. The record is from RefSeq and is a predicted model, not a curated record.
GUGCUGUGAUGACCAGCCAUGCUAAUACUGAGAAAUAGCUGCCCAGUGGGUUUGCUUUAUCAAUGAGUUUAAACAGCAAUCUGAGCAUA